Molecule: ribosomal RNA, 132 nt
Organism: Fukomys damarensis (Damara mole-rat)
Lineage: Eukaryota; Metazoa; Chordata; Mammalia; Rodentia; Bathyergidae
Source: Ensembl
GUCUAUAGCCAUACUACCCUGAACACACCCGAUUUCAUCUGAUCUCGAAAGCUAAGCAGGGUCGGGCCUGGUUAGUACUUGAGUGGAAGAAAUGUUCCUCUCACUUGACCUCAGGAAAAUGAGAUGUUAACU